GUGGAUUUCAGCAAAGAUAAGCUAAAUAUCAGGUCUUUAUUUUUAGUUAAAGAGCAUAGAAUUCAAUGCCUUUCCUCCCACGAGCCUAUUUACAUACCUGCUGUGCUACCUAUUUGCCUUCACCUGCUUCCCAAUUAAUACCCCAUUAAGCUGCUCCACCUGCAGUGGCUUUUACCUUCGCCACAGCCUUGAAACCAUCACUCAUCUGCUUCAGCUCAUUGUUUCUUUUGGGAAGAUAAACGAAAGCUCCACGAACAACAAUGGCAGUGCUUUGCACAUACAGGAUGUGUGUUCAUAAAAGACAGUAGCCAGAAGCUGUGGGCACCUCUGGUCAAGAAAAUCACUAGUUGGCCAAAAAUUCUAGAGUAGUGAAGCUGGUAUUGUGGAAGAUCAGAGGGGAAGACAUGCCCAUCUUAAUUAUUCAGAACUGCAGAGGAAAUCCAGCUACAUCUUCAUGAUGCUGGGCACCAAGCCACCUUUCCCUGGGGGUGCUCUCCACCUGGCUCCUGUCCCCAGGAUGCUGUGAGCCCGUGCAGGCAGGAUUCUCAGUGGAUAGUUCAUGCUGGAUAAUGACUCAGGGAGAGACGCCAAGGAAAUGUCUGUGUGUGUCGAGGGGGUAUAUUCCAAAAGGAGUGACGGACAUAUGUGAUAUUUCACUGCAGGUCUCAGGUCUUCAAGGACAAGAAAUGUAUGUUACUGGGCUACAAGAAAGUUUCCAUGCAAG
RNAcentral lists this long non-coding RNA (724 nucleotides) under Chinchilla lanigera (long-tailed chinchilla). RNAcentral's name for it is "lncRNA (ENSCLAG00000028155.1)". Lineage: Eukaryota; Metazoa; Chordata; Mammalia; Rodentia; Chinchillidae. The record is from RNAcentral.